This 816-nucleotide ribosomal RNA is filed under the name uncultured Planctomycetaceae bacterium. RNAcentral describes it as "bacterial SSU rRNA". It matches the Rfam family "Bacterial small subunit ribosomal RNA", at positions 52 to 890 of the family's 1533-position model. Lineage: Bacteria; Pseudomonadati; Planctomycetota; Planctomycetia; Planctomycetales; Planctomycetaceae. The record is from RNAcentral.
GGCAUGCGAGUCGUGCGGGUGUAGCAAUACACCAGCGGCGAAAGGGACAGUAAUAUGUAGGUCAUCUGCCCUCGAGACGGGGAUAGCCGCGGGAAACUGCGGGUAAUACCCGAUAACGUCUUCGGACCAAAGGUGUGAGUCCGCUCGGGGAUGAGCCUACAUCCUAUUAGCUAGUUGGCGGGGUAACGGCCCACCAAGGCAUCGAUGGGUAGCGGGUGUGAGAGCACGACCCGCGUCAUUGGGACUGAGACACUGCCCAGACACCUACGGGUGGCUGCAGUCGAGAAUCUUCGGCAAUGGACGCAAGUCUGACCGAGCGACGCCGCGUGCGGGAUGAAGGCCUUCGGGUUGUAAACCGCUGUCAGUGGGGAGGAAGGCUUCGUGAAGAGCGAGGUUUGACCUAUCCGCAGAGGAAGUGAGGGCUAAGCUCGUGCCAGCAGCCGCGGUAAGACGAGCCUCACAAACGUUAUUCGGAAUUACUGGGCUUAAAGGGUGCGUAGGCGGCGCGGAAAGUUGGGUGUGAAAUCCCUCGGCUCAACCGAGGAAUUGCGCUCAAAACUACCGUGCUCGAGGGAGAUAGAGGAAUGCGGAACUUACGGUGGAGCGGUGAAAUGCGUUGAUAUCGUAGGGAACACCGGUGGCGAAAGCGGCAUUCUGGAUCUCUUCUGACGCUGAUGCACGAAAGCUAGGGUAGCAAACGGGAUUAGAUACCCCGGUAGUCCUAGCGUAAACGAUGAGCACUGGAUUGAAGGCCCCUCCAUAGGCUUUCAGUCGCAGAGAAAUUGUUUAGUGCUCCGCCUGGGGAGUAUGGUCGCA